This 436-nucleotide ribosomal RNA is filed under the name Pantoea ananatis. RNAcentral's name for it is "bacterial SSU rRNA". It matches the Rfam family "Bacterial small subunit ribosomal RNA", at positions 957 to 1394 of the family's 1533-position model. Lineage: Bacteria; Pseudomonadati; Pseudomonadota; Gammaproteobacteria; Enterobacterales; Erwiniaceae. The record is from RNAcentral.
GAACGCGAAGAACCUUACCUACUCUUGACAUCCAGAGAACUUAGCAGAGAUGCUUUGGUGCCUUCGGGAACUCUGAGACAGGUGCUGCAUGGCUGUCGUCAGCUCGUGUUGUGAAAUGUUGGGUUAAGUCCCGCAACGAGCGCAACCCUUAUCCUUUGUUGCCAGCGAUUCGGUCGGGAACUCAAAGGAGACUGCCGGUGAUAAACCGGAGGAAGGUGGGGAUGACGUCAAGUCAUCAUGGCCCUUACGAGUAGGGCUACACACGUGCUACAAUGGCGCAUACAAAGAGAAGCGACCUCGCGAGAGCAAGCGGACCUCAUAAAGUGCGUCGUAGUCCGGAUCGGAGUCUGCAACUCGACUCCGUGAAGUCGGAAUCGCUAGUAAUCGUGGAUCAGAAUGCCACGGUGAAUACGUUCCCGGGUCUUGUACACACGCA